GUGCUCCCUUCGGCAGCACAUAUACUAAA
This 29-nucleotide small nuclear RNA is filed under the name Cervus elaphus hippelaphus. Lineage: Eukaryota; Metazoa; Chordata; Mammalia; Artiodactyla; Cervidae. The record is from RNAcentral.